CACACCCUAAACGAUGAAUACUAGAUGUUGGUCCUUUUUAGGAUCAGUAUCCAAGCUAACGCAUUAAGUAUUCCACCUGGGAAGUACAAUCGCAAGGUUGAAACUCAAAGGAAUUGACGGGGGCCCGCACAAGCAGUGGAGCAUGUGGUUUAAUUCGACGCAACGCGAAGAACCUUACCUAGGCUUGAAACGCAAGUUAAUCCUGAUGAAAGUCAGGGUUCCGCAAGGAGAAAUUGUACAGGUGC
RNAcentral lists this ribosomal RNA (245 nucleotides) under uncultured bacterium. RNAcentral describes it as "partial 16S ribosomal RNA". It matches the Rfam family "Bacterial small subunit ribosomal RNA", at positions 796 to 1041 of the family's 1533-position model. The record is from RNAcentral.